Gadus macrocephalus (Pacific cod) is the source of this 312-nucleotide long non-coding RNA. RefSeq lists it as uncharacterized. NCBI's taxonomy places the organism in Eukaryota, Metazoa, Chordata, Actinopteri, Gadiformes, Gadidae. The record is from RefSeq and is a predicted model, not a curated record. The transcript is spliced from 2 exons.
CGGCGGUUACUCGUACUCGUCAGUGUCGUCACUUCUGCUCGUCGUCGUUGGAGGUUGGUUGCGGUCGGCUGGAGCUGCUGAAUUUUAUUGUCUGGAUUGAAGGUGGUGAUGGGAGCAGCAGUGUCCCCCCGUGACAAGGACCUGGCUCUCCAGGACCGGGACCUGGCCCCACCUAACCCGGACUGAGUUCGAUAAAAAAUAUAUAUGCAUAUAUAUUAUUGUUUGAAUAUGUUUUGUGAUUCUCUCGAAUAUUCUUCAAUAUACUUUUGAUCAUUUGGUUGAUUUCAUCAAUAAACAAGUUGAUUUCAUCAA